Molecule: RNA transcript, 1226 nt
Organism: Panicum hallii
Lineage: Eukaryota; Viridiplantae; Streptophyta; Magnoliopsida; Poales; Poaceae
Gene name: histone deacetylase 6
Exons: 5
Source: RefSeq, a predicted model, not a curated record
CUUUUACCAAACUCUGGCACGAGCACGACGACGACUCCGUUGAUCGAUUCGUCGUCUCCUCUAUUUUCCGCCGCCGCCGCCGCGUCUCGCCGCUCCGACCAUGUCCUCCGCCGCCGGUGAGGACUCGUCGUCGUCUCGAAAGGGGAAGGAGAGGGAGGAGGACGGCGCCGGCGAGAGCCACCGGGAGGAGGGGGUUGCAGUGAUGGAGGUAGAAGUGGAUCUGGGCGACCUCUACGGCGCGGCGGCGGGGUGGGUCGAGGCGCGGACCAGCUGCCCGCACCUCGGCACCAUGCCGCCCACUGGUGCGGCCGAACUCGCGCGCGUGCCCCCGCCCGACUCUCCGUGCUCCAGAUGUCAUCACCCUGCUGAAAACUGGCUAUGCUUGAUCUGCAAAGAUGUGCUGUGCAGUCGUUUUAUCAACAAACAUAUGUUGUGCCAUUAUCAAGAAAAAGGUCAUUGUCUUGCUUUGAGCUUCAGUGAUCUGUCAGUUUGGUGUUUUGGAUGUGACUCAUACCUAGACGUUCAAGCAAUCUUAGAACUGCGUCCAGUCUAUGAAAUUGCACAUUUAUUGAAGUUUGGAGAACGUCCACCUUUUCGAUCACUUGAAGUACUGGAUUUGAGCACCGGUGAAAAUAGAAGUUCGUCAUCAGCGGCCUAGUUCUCUAUAUUCUGUUACUGAAUUUCUUUUCAUGGUGCUUCAAUCAGAUUCAGACAGACAGUUGGCAGUUGUCUACUAACCUGGGAACCGUCCCAGGAGCUUCAAGGUCAACUAGGGCACUUUGCGAUAAGCAUCUAGCAAACUCUUUGCAUCUGAAAAAUCGGUAACAACUGUUAAAAGUGGUAUGAGCUUCUGGGAGGACAAAUACUGAAAUGAAAAUUGUUGCAUGGCCUUCUUUUAUGCAGAAUGAUUGAUAGAUACUGAUGCCAUCUGAUAUUCCCUGGGGUGAUAGUGAUAUCAAUUUGCCACUUGCCUAAUUCUGUCUGUCCAAUCAGAUGUAAAAAAAUAUCUGUUCUUUCGUUGUCACUCGCGUGCUUGGCGAGGUAUGGUGGAUCCGUGGAUGGUCAUAGGAUGGGAUUUUCCUUAAGUAGCAGUAGCAUUUUCCUUAAGUACUAAGUAGCAUUAGAUGCAUCGUUAUUGUUAAAUCAAGCAUUAUCAUGUCUAUUUCUAGCUAGUGCUUGUUUGAUCAUUAUUGUGAUCAAUAAUCAUUCUAUAUUGUAAUCUCAAA